ACACCCUCAACCUUUCUUGGUUUAUCGACCGGGCAAGGAUUGGACUUUGGAGGUCUUUUGUUGCUGGCCUCGUUUGAAGCCAGCUCCUCCUAAAUGAAUUAGUGGGGUCCGCGGUUGCCGAUCCUCGACGUGAUAAGUACGCUUCUACGUCUUGGGGUUUCGCACCGUUCUCGCUUCCAACUUCGAGUUAUGACUCGACCUUAUAAA
RNAcentral lists this unclassified non-coding RNA (207 nucleotides) under uncultured Russula. RNAcentral describes it as "sequence contains ITS2". Lineage: Eukaryota; Fungi; Basidiomycota; Agaricomycetes; Russulales; Russulaceae. The record is from RNAcentral.